Molecule: transfer RNA, 65 nt
Filed under: Dipodomys ordii (Ord's kangaroo rat)
Lineage: Eukaryota; Metazoa; Chordata; Mammalia; Rodentia; Heteromyidae
Rfam family: tRNA
About the family: Transfer RNA (tRNA) molecules are approximately 80 nucleotides in length.
Source: Rfam by way of RNAcentral
GGUGGCUCAAUGGUAGAGUGUUUGCCUUGCAUGCAUGAGGCCCUGGGUUCAAUUCCUCAGCACCA